GAAGGAUAGAGUACAUUCAUACAUUAUGUUUUAUGUGUUCAUUUGGACGUUUUUUUUUUUGUGCCUUUUUCAUCAUUACACAUUUAAGUGAAAAGAGGAAGAAAAGGGGAAUAAUGAUGUAUAUAAAGA
This 129-nucleotide non-coding RNA is filed under the name Heterosigma akashiwo. Lineage: Eukaryota; Raphidophyceae; Chattonellales; Chattonellaceae. The record is from RNAcentral.